This 130-nucleotide ribosomal RNA is filed under the name Amsinckia calycina. Its description in RNAcentral is "5.8S ribosomal RNA". The stretch from base 1 to 89 matches the Rfam family "5.8S ribosomal RNA", at positions 68 to 154 of the family's 154-position model. Rfam says of the family: 5.8S ribosomal RNA (5.8S rRNA) is a component of the large subunit of the eukaryotic ribosome. It is transcribed by RNA polymerase I as part of the 45S precursor that also contains 18S and 28S rRNA. Functionally, it is thought that 5.8S rRNA may be involved in ribosome translocation. The record is from RNAcentral. Lineage: Eukaryota; Viridiplantae; Streptophyta; Magnoliopsida; Boraginales; Boraginaceae.
UGAAUUGCAGAAUCCCGUGAACCAUCGAGUCUUUGAACGCAAGUUGCGCCUGAAGCCAUUAGGCUAAGGGCACGUCUGCCUGGGCGUCACGCAUCGCGUCACCCCUCCCCCAAUCUUGGUGGGCGGGGUG